GACAAAUUUGAUGAAAAGCGGGAGAGCUGGGUCCAUACCCACCAAAAAAAUCGGACCACCUCCCACAUCGUGGAUGAAGCUUCUAUGCUGCUUGAAAAAUUGCAGGCCCUGGGUGUAAGGGCUGUAAUAGUUUUGUCCAAGCCCGGAAGAAAAGAGAAUGCCUGGGUUUCAGAGGUUUUGGCACCCCGUUGUCAACUGACAGACACUUCUAAAAAGUGUCUUGAAAGAAUAAAGACACUCUAUGAACUUGUUAUUCAAGGCUGGACCCCACAAGUUGCUGCAGGACAUUCAUCAUCCCCAGUUGAACCCCAAACUACACCUCAACUGGCUCCACCAACAACACAGGUUGCUGUUGCCCAGCCUCAUCCCCCUGCAGCUCCACCUACACCUCAACUGGCUCCACCAACAACACAGGUUGCUGUUGCCCAGCCUCAUCCCCCUGCAGCUCCACCUACACCCCCAAAGUCUUUGAUUUUAUCAGUAGCCUCCACUGGAGCCUCCCAAGUUUGUCAAGAAAAAGGUAAGCAUAAGUAAGGGAUAAUGUAGAGUGAGGCAUUAUCCUGCCUAUUACAUGGUUACUUAACUAAAUAAAUAAUAAAUAAAUAAUUUGACACCAAAUAUUAAUUUAAAAACGAUAGUAUUGCUACCGAUAAAGAAAAAGGUCUGUUCCGUCUCUAUGGUUGGUAUCCUGCGUCCAUAGCAACGUAAACUGUAGCUGUUUAAUAUAACCCUCCGUCAGUCACUCAACACCACAGUAUCUCCUCCUCCAUGCUUGGCAUCAGUGUGUGUGCCUACCAGAUAGCCAGCUGUUUGCAGCACAUGCAUUUCUGGCAAAAGCCAGGGUCCAACAUGCAUUUAAUCCCCCAAUUACAGGCUGUGGUAGUAGCUUUCUAUUUUACCUCCAAAAUAAGUCAGGCUGUAAUGGGGUGAUGCCCUGCUAUCGCUAGCUAGGUGGAGAAAACUCCUUCAUCCAGCUGCUGUUUUAAUCAGUGCGGGU
Perca flavescens (yellow perch) is the source of this 997-nucleotide long non-coding RNA. RefSeq lists it as uncharacterized. The record is from RefSeq and is a predicted model, not a curated record. The transcript has 3 exons. NCBI's taxonomy places the organism in Eukaryota, Metazoa, Chordata, Actinopteri, Perciformes, Percidae.